CUACGGGACGCACCAGUGGGGAAUAUUGCACAAUGGGCGCAAGCCUGAUGCAGCCAUGCCGCGUGUAUGAAGAAGGCCUUCGGGUUGUAAAGUACUUUCAGCGGGGAGGAAGGGAGUAAGGUUAAUACCUUUGCUCAUUGACGUUACCCGCAGAAGAAGCACCGGCUAACUCCGUGCCAGCAGCCGCGGUAAUACGGAGGGUGCAAGCGUUAAUCGGAAUUACUGGGCGUAAAGCGCACGCAGGCGGUUUGUUAAGCCAGAUGUGAAAUCCCCGGGCUCAACCUGGGAACUGCAUCUGAUACUGGCAAGCUUGAGUCUCGUAGAGGGGGGUAGAAUUCCAGGUGUAGCGGUGAAAUGCGUAGAGAUCUGGAGGAAUACCGGUGGCGAAGGCGGCCCCCUGGACGAAGACUGACGCUCAGGUGCGAAAGCGUGGGGAGCAAACAGGAUUAGAUACCCGCGUAGUC
Molecule: ribosomal RNA, 464 nt
Filed under: uncultured bacterium
Lineage: Bacteria
Description: partial 16S ribosomal RNA
Rfam family: Bacterial small subunit ribosomal RNA
Source: RNAcentral